UCACCUUUUUUUCAAAUUUUC
Molecule: non-coding RNA, 21 nt
Filed under: Caenorhabditis elegans
Lineage: Eukaryota; Metazoa; Nematoda; Chromadorea; Rhabditida; Rhabditidae
Source: RNAcentral